UGGGGAAUCUUGGACAAUGGGCGAAAGCCUGAUCCAGCAAUGCCGCGUGUGUGAAGAAGGCCUUCGGGUUGUAAAGCACUUUCGUUGGGGAAGAAAAUACUCAGAGCUCAUACCUCUGAGAGUUGACGUUACCCAAAGAAGAAGCACUGGCUAACUCUGUGCCAGCAGCCGCGGUAAUACAGAGAGUGCAAGCGUUAAUCGGAAUCACUGGGCGUAAAGCGCAUGUAGGUGGGUAUUUAAGUCGGAUGUGAAAUCCCUGGGCUUAACCUGGGAAUUGCAUUCGAUACUGGACAUCUAGAGUAUGGUAGAGGGAAGUGGAAUUUCCGGUGUAGCGGUGAAAUGCGUAGAUAUCGGAAAGAACAUCAGUGGCGAAGGCGGCUUCCUGGACCAAUACUGACACUAAAGUGCGAAAGCGUGGGUAGCAAACAGGAUUAGAUACCCCCGUAGUCC
Molecule: ribosomal RNA, 450 nt
Filed under: uncultured bacterium
Lineage: Bacteria
Description: bacterial SSU rRNA
Rfam family: Bacterial small subunit ribosomal RNA
Source: RNAcentral